RNAcentral lists this ribosomal RNA (468 nucleotides) under uncultured bacterium. RNAcentral's name for it is "partial 16S ribosomal RNA". It matches the Rfam family "Bacterial small subunit ribosomal RNA", at positions 28 to 507 of the family's 1533-position model. The record is from RNAcentral.
GACGAACGCUGGCGGCGUGCUUAACACAUGCAAGUCGAACGGCAAGGCCCUGCUUUUGUGGGGUGCUCGAGUGGCGAACGGGUGAGUAACACGUGAGUAACCUGCCCUUGACUUUGGGAUAACUUCAGGAAACUGGGGCUAAUACCGGAUAGGAGCUCCUGCUGCAUGGUGGGGGUUGGAAAGUUUCGGCGGUUGGGGAUGGACUCGCGGCUUAUCAGCUUGUUGGUGGGGUAGUGGCUUACCAAGGCUUUGACGGGUAGCCGGCCUGAGAGGGUGACCGGCCACAUGGGGACUGAGAUACGGCCCAGACUCCUACGGGAGGCAGCAGUGGGGAAUAUUGCACAAUGGGCGGAAGCCUGAUGCAGCAACGCCGCGUGCGGGAUGACGGCCUUCGGGUUGUAAACCGCUUUCGCCUGUGACGAAGCGUGAGUGACGGUAAUGGGUAAAGAAGCACCGGCUAACUACGUG